AUUGAACGCUGGCGGCAGGCUUAACACAUGCAAGUCGAACGGUAACAGGAGAAAGCUUGCUUUCUUGCUGACGAGUGGCGGACGGGUGAGUAAUGCUUGGGAAUCUGGCUUAUGGAGGGGAAUAACGACGGGAAACUGUCGCUAAUACCGCGUAGAGUCGGGAGACGAAAGUGCGGGACCGCAAGGCCGCAUGCCAUGAGAUGAGCCCAAGUGGGAUUAGGUAGUUGGUGGGGUAAAGGCCUACCAAGCCGACGAUCUCUAGCUGGUCUGAGAGGAUGACCAGCCACACCGGGACUGAGACACGGCCCGGACUCCUACGGGAGGCAGCAGUGGGGAAUAUUGCGCAAUGGGGGCAACCCUGACGCAGCCAUGCCGCGUGAAUGAAGAAGGCCUUCGGGUUGUAAAGUUCUUUCGGUGACGAGGAAGGCGUGAUGUUUAAUAGGCAUCACGAUUGACUUAAUCACAGAAGAGCACCG
RNAcentral lists this ribosomal RNA (476 nucleotides) under Aggregatibacter segnis. RNAcentral's name for it is "bacterial SSU rRNA". It matches the Rfam family "Bacterial small subunit ribosomal RNA", at positions 30 to 495 of the family's 1533-position model. Lineage: Bacteria; Pseudomonadati; Pseudomonadota; Gammaproteobacteria; Pasteurellales; Pasteurellaceae. The record is from RNAcentral.